GGGCCUGUGGCGCAAUUUGGAUAACGCGUCUGCCUAACGAGCAGAAGAUUCUAGGUUCAAGUCCUAGCAGGCUCG
Panonychus citri (citrus red mite) is the source of this 75-nucleotide non-coding RNA. The record is from the annotation of a RefSeq genome assembly. NCBI's taxonomy places the organism in Eukaryota, Metazoa, Arthropoda, Arachnida, Trombidiformes, Tetranychidae.